RNAcentral lists this ribosomal RNA (460 nucleotides) under uncultured bacterium. RNAcentral describes it as "partial 16S ribosomal RNA". It matches the Rfam family "Bacterial small subunit ribosomal RNA", at positions 338 to 795 of the family's 1533-position model. The record is from RNAcentral.
CCUACGGGUGGCAGCAGUGAGGAAUAUUGGUCAAUGGCCGGAAGGCUGAACCAGCCAUGCCACGUGAAGGUCAGUGCUCUAUGGGCGUUAAACUUUUUUUGUGCGGGAGCAAUAAUGGUCACGUGUGGCCAGACGAGAGUACCGUACGAAUAAGCAUCGGCCAACUCCGUGCCAGCAGCCGCGGGAAUACGGGGGAUGCAAGCGUUAUCCGGAUUUAUUGGGUUUAAAGGGUGCGUAGGCUGUGAGGUAAGUCAGCGGUGAAAUGCCCCCGAUCAACGGGGUGAAGUGCCAUUGAUACUGCCUUGCUGGAAUGCGGAUGACGUGGGAGGAAUGUGUGGUGUAGCGGUGAAAUGCAUAGAUAUCACACAGAACACCGAUUGCGAAGGCAUCUCGCGAAUCCGCGAUUGACGCUGAUGCACGAAAGCGUGGGUAUCGAACAGGAUUAGAUACCCUUGUAGUC